UACAGAGGGGGCAAGCGUUGUUCGGAAUUACUGGGCGUAAAGGGCGCGUAGGCGGCCUUCUAAGUCGAACGUGAAAUCCCCGGGCUCAACCCGGGAACUGCGUCCGAUACUGGAAGGCUUGAAUCCGGGAGAGGGAUGCGGAAUUCCAGGUGUAGCGGUGAAAUGCGUAGAUAUCUGGAGGAACACCGGUGGCGAGGGCGGCAUCCUGGACCGGCAUUGACGCUGAGGCGCGAAAGCCAGGGGAGCAAACGGG
Molecule: ribosomal RNA, 253 nt
Filed under: uncultured bacterium
Lineage: Bacteria
Description: partial 16S ribosomal RNA
Rfam family: Bacterial small subunit ribosomal RNA
Source: RNAcentral